UUUCCUAUUGACAAAUGUCUUUCUUGUGCUUUUUGUAAUGCUGUUCUGUUUGGAGCAAGUUUGUUCCCUUUGGCAGAAAACACUAUUCAUGAGAAAAAUUUUCUAAUGAAAAAAAUCCUAGACUUUGGUGCUGAGUAUCAGCAGCAUAAGGAAAAGCACAACUGUGUGAGGAUUAGAACUUUAUAUGUGUAAUUGACUUCAGGCUCCAACCAAAGACAGCAUCAGGAUAAAUCCUCUUAUGCUUUUACUUGCUCUGAACCACCUCUCAGAUGUCCAGGUUCAUGGUAAAAUGUGUUUCAUCUAUGCCUGAAGUAUCUUGAGGCUCUAAAUCUUUGCAAGAGUAUUUUAUUCCCUCAUCCAUGUUAGAAAAACAUCACCAGGAAGGCAAACAUAGUUACCUGAUGGUCUCAUGUUAGACUUUUUGUUUAUUUAGGUAAGCACCUCUUCCUACUAGUGGACUCAUCUCAGAAGAUUUCAAAAACAAAAGUCUCAAGUGACGUGGAUAUUUCCACCUGGUUGUAGUGGGAUAGGCUGGAUUGAUGAUUUUUCACACUAAGCUCUGAGUGUUCCAAUGAGUUCCUUGGAAGUCUCUCAGGAUCAACAGGGGUUCGUGUAAGAAGAGAAAUGGCUUUCUGUGGACAGAUGCAAAGCUGAGCUGCCAAGAAGUUUGAUGGGAUGGUAGAGGAGGUAGUUCUCUAAAUAUUGGAAAUCCCAAGCCUGUGGAAGGUGAUGGCACAUAAGGAAAGACCUCACACUUUGGAGCCGAUGGACUUGGCUUUAGAAUCCCAGCUGCACCUCUUACUGGCAAUGAGACUUUGCAAAUUUAUUUUAACUUCUCUAAGCCCUCAGUUUCCAUCUCUGUAAAAUAUGGUUGUAAAAAUGCCAUGAAAUAAUGUAUGUAAGGAAAUUCAUUAGCACAGUGCCUAAUAAAUUUCAGUUUCUCUUUUCUUUGCCUUAAAUUCCUUAGUUUUCUCCCAUCUCAGGCUCUCUCUCUCUCUACGUCUCUAUGAAACAGCUCUGCUAAAGAAAGAUGCAAACUUUUGAUAAUCUACCCUUGAAGAAAAGCUCCUUGGAAUUUGGACCUACAGUUUGAAAAUUUGGCAUGCUACACCAACACUACAGUGACAAGGGAAAAAAUUGUUUGUGACAGAGAAAAAUUACCUGCAAUUUACAAUACCCAGCUGCCUCCAAAGGAGGUUCUUUGCUGAACAGAGUGAUGGGUAUGAGGAUGCAGGGUUAAGAGAGUUCACCAAAUUGUUCUGCAUUAGAAAAAUCCUGUUUAUUCAUUUAUUGUAGGAGGUAGGCAGGGGUGAGUCAGGGUGAAUGGAAAAUGAAUGAGAUCCAGAAGAACCAGGGAAAAUGUGGAGCCUAUGUGUGGCAAGAUUGAAGGGUGGGAAAGUGGCUAAGGGGAACUUUCUGAGGAGACCCCAGAUGUUAAACAGGAAUUUUUAUUAAAAUUUGCUAUGUGGUGCUCCAUAUAAUCCUUUCAUGCCUUUCUCCAUAAAACCUACAAUAAUAUCUAUAUUUCUUAUCACUAUGUUGAAGGAAAUUGAGUUUGUUCUUGUUGAGAAGUACAAGAACAAAUUGAAGUGUUAAGUCCCACUUCAAGGUGUUUGUGACCCCAGGACAGGGCUGCCUAUGAGGCCCAGGAACAUCUGGGUCCCAUUACUUAAAAAUCAGCAACCUCUCCUCUGGCUGAAGACAUGCAUUAUUUUUAAAAAGCAGAAAGAAAGAACCAACACCUAGAAACCAUUGUCUUGGGGCCCAGGACAAUACGACUCAGCUCUGAAGGAUAAAGGUAGAGUUUUACCAGCCAAAGGUACACAAAGUCCAAAAGACUGGCCUUAACUCAGUGAUGUAGUUUGGAUAUUUGUCCCUGCCCAACUCUCAUGUUGAAUUCUAAUUCCCAGUGCUGGAGGUGGGGCCUGGUGGGAGGUAUUUGGUCAUGGGGGUGGAUUCCUCAUGGCUUGGUUCUGUCUUCAUGAUAGUGAAUGGGUUCGCAAGAUAUCUGGUCAUUUAAAAGUGUGCGGCACUCCCCUACUCUUUCUUUUGCUCUUGCUCUGGCCAUGUGACAUGCCUGCUCCCCCUUCACCUUCCACCAUGAUUGUAAGCUUCCUGUGGUCUCUCUAGAAGUCGAGUAGAUGCCAGCACCAUGCUUCCUGUACAGCCUGUAGAACUGUGAGCAAUUAAACCUCUUUUCUUUAUAAAUUGUCCACUCUCAGAUAUUUCUUUAUAGCAACGCAAGAAUGGCCUAACACACUCAGAACUUCUCUAUGUACCUCACAAAAUGGUUAUAAGGCCCUCAACUCUUAAUCUUUCUAUUGUAAACAUUGUUGAUAUUGAGAAUAUUUACCUGAUGCUGCAAAAUUUGUGUGAAAAGUCAAAGAAUAAAAGUGUUUAAUAAAUCCCA
Molecule: long non-coding RNA, 2410 nt
Filed under: Homo sapiens (human)
Lineage: Eukaryota; Metazoa; Chordata; Mammalia; Primates; Hominidae
Description: HSALNT0032517
Source: RNAcentral